Molecule: long non-coding RNA, 1646 nt
Filed under: Varanus komodoensis (Komodo dragon)
Lineage: Eukaryota; Metazoa; Chordata; Lepidosauria; Squamata; Varanidae
Description: lncRNA (ENSVKKG00000001024.1)
Source: RNAcentral
CCAGAGCUCUGGCGUUGCCGGCGAACCAGUGACCCCACUCUGAGGCCAUGGCGGCCAGCGUUGGGUGUGGAGCCUACAUCGGAAGCUCUUCUCCCCAGGCAGCCACGGAAGGCAGAACUCAGUCCCCAGGAACUCUGGGAACAGAACAGUCUGAGCCCCACAGAGCCUCGGAACAGAGAUGAAGGCAUGAAUGGGCACUUGUGUCCAGCAGUACUGUGGCAUGCUUCACCAAGUUGGCCGAUGACUUUCCCAUGCAUUCCACUCUGCUGCCACCCUGUAGGAACAUCCAGACUUGGCCGCAAUCUUACUCUGGGAUGGCUCUGUCCAUUCUCAUAAUACCCAUGCAGUGCCUUUUCAACUUCUUUCUCGAGCUGUGAACUUACUGGAGAUUCUUGGGCAAGUCAGUGCUGUUGGUGGUGACAGAGGCUGUUGUACCAGGCAAGCAAAGUCAAACCAAGGAGUUCUGAAUUGGCCUGAACUGAGGUGUAGGUUGGGAGGAGGGUGCUCUACUGAUGACCAAUGCGGGUCAUGGCCAAAGUGUCUCAAACUGCUCCUUUGCCUGGUGCCCUGACUCUGAUCAUAGCUGCAGUGUCUAGACGAAUUGGUAGAGUUUGCUUAGUCUGAUGGGAGAUGAAAGGAAGAACCUGGGCUGCAGUUGCCAAGCUACUGCAGGAUGUACUUUCUCAACCACAUCCAGGUUAACUCAAGAGGAAAAGAAGGAAAGAGGUGCCUCUGGUUUUGCAUCACUGGGGAGGUAAUGACUACAAGAUCUAAACAAGGAGCUCAGAAGUAGCCCUCUCACUGAAUUAGGGAAGCUCUGCAAAGCCACAAGAGAAUUUGAUACUGUAGUAUUCAAGGUACUGUGGAAGUUCACAGGCUACAGAUCUCCUGGGACUGUGCCACUUUUGUAUGCAGACGUGGUUUGGAUGCUGCCCAAGAUAGUGGAGGAAAGACACUUUUCAACGCAUAGGAAAUGAGAAUGGCAAGGAGGGGGAUUUUAGUCAAGCCAUCUCCUUGAUGUAUGCUAAUAUUUUAUGUGCAGGGAAUUUUGACAAACAUUUGGUCAAGUGACACCUGCCCUGCAGACUAAGGACUUACACUCAGAUGUUUUUUCCCCCUUCUCUACUUGGAUCUUUAUUUUUGAGAUUAUAAAACUGCAGGAUUGUUACCAUGUUGCUAUCAUGAGAGGAAGCAUCUGUAGAAAAGCAAUUCCUGUGUGGAAAAAACAGUGUGAGUGAACACACUAAAGAGGCCCUGAAGAGUGCUUGCUUUCCCCAGUAGCAUAUGGCUUGGCUUAUUUGUUGGAGCUCUCCAAACACCUUUCUGCAGUGAAACUGCUUGUCUUUUUCAGUGUGGCAUAUGAUCUGGAGUAUGGGACUCUGUCUCUGGAAACUUCAAAAAUGAUGCUGCAUUUUGAGUUGGUGCUGAACUUGUCUACUCCACCUCCUCUAUUCGAUAUAGUGUGCUUCUUUAAGAUGCAGUAACUUGAGCUGCUUGGUAAAUCUUGUCUCCUUUGACAGAGCUUACCUAGAAUUUGACCCCAAGCCCUGUCAUAUGGAAGUCACUCAAAUACCUGCCCAUGUGAAAAGUAGAUAUUGAAAUCACUGGUUUAGAUAUAUACUAGGUUAUUUCCACUUAGAACCCAU